This 440-nucleotide ribosomal RNA is filed under the name uncultured bacterium. RNAcentral describes it as "partial 16S ribosomal RNA". It matches the Rfam family "Bacterial small subunit ribosomal RNA", at positions 339 to 795 of the family's 1533-position model. The record is from RNAcentral.
CUACGGGUCGCUCCAGCAGGGAAUAUUGCACAAUGGGCGGAAGUCUGAUGCAGCGACGCCGCGUGGAUGAUGAAGGCCCUCGGGUUGUAAAAUCCUUUUCAGGGGGACGAGGAAGGACGGUACCCUUGGAAUAAGCGUCGGCUAACUACGUGCCAGCAGCCGCGGUAAGACGUAGGACGCAAGCGUUAUCCGGAUUUACUGGGCGUAAAGCGUCUGUAGGCGGAAUGGUAAGUUGGACGUGAAAGCUCCGGGCUCAACCCGGAGAGGUCGUUCAAUACUGCCAAACUAGAGGGCAUCAGAGGAGCGUGGAAUUUCCGGUGUAGCGGUAAAAUGCGCAGAUAUCGGAAGGAACACCAAUGGCGAAGGCAGCGCUCUGGGAUGAACCUGACGCUAAGAGACGAAAGCUAGGGGAGCGAACAGGAUUAGAUACCCGAGUAGUC